CCAUAUACUUAUAGCAGGGACUCUUCAACUCCAUUAUUUGUUCUUUAAUCUGAAUAUCUUUAGCAGGAGCUGAGCAUAGUUUGAGUGCCUCAUAACAAAUUUAAGCAGGAUAAAGAAUCAGUAAUAAAAGCAGUAGGCUGAAGUAAACAUCAUUUCUCAGUGUUUACAUAUGGCAUACAAGAGUCUUUGUGAUCUGGCCCUUGCCUACAUUUCCAACUUGCUUAUAGACACAAAGACAAUGAAAAUGAUUGGUAAGAAAAAUUGUUAUGUUAAAAGUUGCUUGCCAAUACCCUAAUAUCCUUCAGGUCUCUUGCCAUUCACUGGUAGGUUAUCUGGAAUUUCUACAAUUCUACAUUUCUUAAAAGUAAGAACAGUGGUAGUUCCUCUUAGCAUGCAAAUAUUUAUAGGAAAUAACAUCACAAGA
This 424-nucleotide long non-coding RNA is filed under the name Bos taurus (domestic cattle). Its description in RNAcentral is "long non-coding RNA NONBTAT017417". The record is from RNAcentral. Lineage: Eukaryota; Metazoa; Chordata; Mammalia; Artiodactyla; Bovidae.